AAACAGAAAUGUAGAAUGACAGUCGCUCAAUCUGUUGCAAGCAAUGACUUUCAAACAGCAAGUGCUAAAGAAGCCAAACACGCAGAAUUACAAGUCCAACGCUGAAACUGCUGGAAAAGAACAGUGAAAAAGAUACAGGUCUUCAUUCUUGAUGGGAUUCAGAAACUGAACUACUGUGUCUUCACAGACAAAUAAUCCAAAAUCAGCCUAAGAGUGUGGAGUAAACAGCAUCAAGCCUCUCUUUAAUAGGGAACUCAUCUAUAAAAACAAACACUUGUUAUACUUUUAUGAAUUAUCAAGUUGUACAACACACAGCAAUAAGGAUUUAGACAAACAAUCACAGAUUUUAUUAAUUUUAUUGUUGUGUCUAAUAUAUAUAGAAACAACUUGUGUUGUAAAAGAAAGGAUGACAGCAUAUCUCUUUAUCACGUGCCAGUAUAGGCCCUGACUGCACGUGAGAACGUUUGAAUUAUCUGGCACGAGGCCUCACACGUCAUACUUCAACUGACACAACGGUCUCGAUGGUAGGAAUAAGCAAAAGCUCCUUUAAAUUUCGUCAUUUUUUUUAUACACAUCCCGUUUAUUUUGUAGUUAAUUGUUAGAUAAGUUAGUAAUUUCGUAAAUUUUUCGUUACAGGGUAAGAUUUCGUUACCAUAUACAGUAAAUAUUGGUUCAAGAGGGCAGAUAACUCAGUCGAGGUUUGUAAAUGGUAAAUAACUUAUUCGAGGGGUUUCUGUUCCUGCAGUCUUUCAGGGGUGCUGGCGCGUAUGACGAUGCGGACAUGAACAGCAUACUACAGUAUACCGCCACCUACUGUACUGUAGUACAAUAACGUGUAGGAUUGAAUACUGUGCCAAACGCAGUAAAAAAAAAUAGCCAUUUAAUUCAUUGUAAAAACAAUGGACAUGCCAGUUCAAGUAACUUGUGGGCUAAAUCACCAAAAUAAGUUUGUAGAUGUGGUUCAAUUAUUUUUAAUGUGCAGCAUAAUGAAUCAGCCUGAAUGCAUGUAGCCUAUGAACAUAUUGUUUAGACUUUAUUUUUAAACCUUUAUCUGGUGUAUGGUUAAACCUUAUGAUGGUAGCAAUUGAAUACAAAUCUUAAACUGAAUCAAAUCUCUUAUAAUAAUACAUAAAAUCUCUGGGACGGUUGGGGGUACAUCAGGGUAACAUUUAAGCAGCUUAAUUUUUUUAAUUCUUUUAUAUAUUUUGAUGUGUAUAUAUAUAUAUUUACUUUCUUUAUUUUGUUUUCUCAGCUUUUAAACAUCUAAACAUGUCCUCCAAAAAGGUUUCCUGUGCUGUUUUGCUCCAUUUUACUGAACAAAAUAAGGCUGAGGUAGCACCAUCCUUGUGGUUAGAGUGAAAGAAUGUGGGUAUUGAGACCAAAAUAAACAAUGUGCCAUUCUGGACAAACAGCUGUGGACAAUAUGCAGUCAGAGUAGCCCAUUUUCUCACACAGACCUGAAGAUAAGAUUUCCAGUUUAAAAGUGAAGAAAAUGAAUCAUUAUUAACAGCAAAUAGGAGUAUUUCUCAGCUGAAAAGCCAGGUGAAACUAUAAGGUCACUAUGAUUCACUUUCAUAUUAUCAUUCUUUUCAGAUUUUUUUCCCUGUGUUUUUUUUGUUAGAUGAGGAGCAACCAGUAAGAAAAAGCAAAAAGAUGUUUUGAUGUUGCCUGAGGCACCUUAUUUUCCAUUUCAUGCACAAUCACAAAUGCAGCACAUCAAUCAAUUUCUUCCAACCAGCGAAUCAAGAAAUCUUGGAGUGGAGAAUCAUUCUGAAAGUAGACCAAAUCCAGGACAACAUCACAACAGUGGUCGGAAAAAUGCAGCAAGCCAAGCUGACUUUCAAAAGAUGAUUCGUUAUCUGUUUCUUCAGAGGGGAGGCAGUUUGGGAGAUGGGAAUUAGGAGGAUGCUACAGUUACACAGGGCAAAUUUCAGCAGCUCAGUUUCAAACUUGCAACUAACAUUGAGUUAAAGUUAGAAGACCACGGAAAUAUUUGACAUCGGAGUCCAGCAGACAGCCAGAGACACGCACACACACGCAGCUGAAGCGCGUUUGACUGACGCGUACGGGAGAUCCGGCACGCGCACGGGAGCUCGCGCACGCUCACACAAACACGGAGCACAGGAUAAUUACAACUGUUUAAUUAAAAUAAAAGAACUUUGUGGUAUACAAUGUUUAGCGUGUCUGAUUUCAUUGGUUAGCAAGGAAAUAAAACGACGUGCUGAGGACUUUAGGCGAACGUCCCCUAAAAGUCCCGAAAGUCCGCUGACCGUCCCGCGAACGUCCUCGCAAAAGUCCGGAGGACGUCCUCGCGGAAGUCCGCUCGACGUAACGGGAACCAU
This is a non-coding RNA of Paramisgurnus dabryanus, 2342 nucleotides long. The record is from RefSeq and is a predicted model, not a curated record. Lineage: Eukaryota; Metazoa; Chordata; Actinopteri; Cypriniformes; Cobitidae.